RNAcentral lists this ribosomal RNA (468 nucleotides) under uncultured bacterium. Its description in RNAcentral is "partial 16S ribosomal RNA". It matches the Rfam family "Bacterial small subunit ribosomal RNA", at positions 28 to 507 of the family's 1533-position model. The record is from RNAcentral.
GACGAACGCUGGCGGCGUGCUUAACACAUGCAAGUCGAACGGAAAGGCCCUGCUUUUGUGGGGUGCUCGAGUGGCGAACGGGUGAGUAACACGUGAGUAACCUGCCCUUGACUUUGGGAUAACUUCAGGAAACUGGGGCUAAUACCGGAUAGGAGCUCCUGCUGCAUGGUGGGGGUUGGAAAGUUUCGGCGGUUGGGGAUGGACUCGCGGCUUAUCAGCUUGUUGGUGGGGUAGUGGCUUACCAAGGCUUUGACGGGUAGCCGGCCUGAGAGGGUGACCGGCCACAAUGGGACUGAGGUACCGGCCAAGCCUCUUCGGGAGGCAGGAGUGGGGGAUAAUGCAAAAAGGGCCGAAGCCUUAUGCCGCAACGCCGCGUGCCGGAUGACGGCCUUCGGGUUGUAAACCGCUUUCGCCUGUGACGAAGCGUGAGUGACGGUAAUGGGUAAAGAAGCACCGGCUAACUACGUG